Long non-coding RNA from Phyllopteryx taeniolatus (common seadragon), 462 nucleotides. RefSeq lists it as uncharacterized. Lineage: Eukaryota; Metazoa; Chordata; Actinopteri; Syngnathiformes; Syngnathidae. The record is from RefSeq and is a predicted model, not a curated record. The transcript is spliced from 4 exons.
UCAUGUGCCACCUCUCCACGAAGUUCAUGGGGAUAAAGUGGUGCGGGAACUAGUUCACUGUGUGCUGCAGCUGGAAGAAGUCAACGGGUGUCUUGGACUGUUCAUUUUUAUCCACCUCCCUCCAAGAAUGACGCCUUAGAUCAUGCGGGGGAAUAAAGGAUGACGCACCGUGCCAAUUGCUUUGCAACAAAGCGAUCGCGCAAAAUGGCGACCCAUACAUAUGGCGAGAUGCUCUAGGCCGCUUGCCAACGGAUCGUCUGCCGAUCAGGAUUUGAGUAAAUGGGAUCCGGAAUCAUGAUGAGUGAACUCCGUCUGGAUAGCCAGUCGAGCUUCAUCCUGAGUUUACGCCGACGGAGACGAAGUUAUGCAACACCCGCGAGUCCAACGUCUUUUAGGAUUGCGACGAAGAAAAGUUAUGCAUCCAGCAGACGUUCGACUCCCAUUCCAGUACGCAGUGCAGAC